Long non-coding RNA from Melopsittacus undulatus (budgerigar), 516 nucleotides. RefSeq lists it as uncharacterized. The record is from RefSeq and is a predicted model, not a curated record. The transcript is spliced from 3 exons. Lineage: Eukaryota; Metazoa; Chordata; Aves; Psittaciformes; Psittaculidae.
CUGUCGCGCCGCGGCAGCCGUCACUCACCGGUCAGGACCCAUGCACCCCUCCUGUCACCCCCGCUCAUCCCCUAUGAGACUCCUCCGGUCCCCACCACGGCACCGUCACUCCUGCCCCGGCCAGACCACCUCAUCCUCUCCGCACUUUGCUCAGCCGCUCGUCGCCUCCUGUCACCUCCAGGGUAGGACCUGGGGCACAGGGUGGGGGACAGACACCAUGUUCCUCUGGAGAUGCUGCACAGAGCCACAGGAUGAAGCUGCAGGAUGUCAUGGAAACAUACAUGUCUCUGAUGAAAGACAACUCCUAGAGGAAGGAGCUGCUGGACAAAAUUGAGAGACACUGCUCUCAUGGAGGAGAUGUCCCUGCAAAGCUACUGCAGAGCAUAGAACCACAUCAAGAGGCCUGGUAAUGAGCACUAUGCCUAUCUGAUGCUGCAAGUUGGGCAGAAGAAGCUGCAGAAGCCAAGCCUGUAGGGAAGUUUGCUGUCAAGUGGCUGAAUGUAGCACCCUGCAAGC